This 109-nucleotide ribosomal RNA is filed under the name uncultured bacterium. RNAcentral's name for it is "partial 16S ribosomal RNA". It matches the Rfam family "Bacterial small subunit ribosomal RNA", at positions 226 to 334 of the family's 1533-position model. The record is from RNAcentral.
UGGGCCUGCGUCGGAUUAGCUAGUUGGUGAGGUAAUGGCUCACCAAGGCGACGAUCCGUAGCUGGUUUGAGAGAAUGAUCAGCCACACUGGGACUGAGACACGGCCCAG